This 477-nucleotide ribosomal RNA is filed under the name uncultured bacterium. Its description in RNAcentral is "partial 16S ribosomal RNA". It matches the Rfam family "Bacterial small subunit ribosomal RNA", at positions 30 to 507 of the family's 1533-position model. The record is from RNAcentral.
AUUGAACGCUGGCGGCAUGCCUUACACAUGCAAGUCGAACGGUAACAGGUUAAGCUGACGAGUGGCGAACGGGUGAGUAAUGUAUCGGAACGUGCCCAGUCGUGGGGGAUAACUGCUCGAAAGAGCAGCUAAUACCGCAUACGACCUGAGGGUGAAAGCGGGGGAUCGCAAGACCUCGCGCGAUUGGAGCGGCCGAUAUCAGAUUAGGUAGUUGGUGAGGUAAAGGCUCACCAAGCCGACGAUCUGUAGCUGGUCUGAGAGGACGACCAGCCACACUGGGACUGAGACACGGCCCAGACUCCUACGGGAGGCAGCAGUGGGGAAUUUUGGACAAUGGGCGCAAGCCUGAUCCAGCCAUGCCGCGUGCGGGAAGACGGCCUUCGGGUUGUAAACCGCUUUUGUCAGGGAAGAAAAGGUUCUGGCUAAUACCUGGGACUCAUGACGGUACCUGAAGAAUAAGCACCGGCUAACUACGUG